UAACCAAUUUUUUUCCUCUCCAGGCAAGGCCUGAUCAUGCCAUCUCUGAUCCUAUCUAUUCCACUAUUACAACUUCUCAUAAUUCAUCAGAACUCGCUGUCAUUAUUGAUCUCCAGUAGAGAGAGUGGUGACCAUGUUUCUGAAGUCUGUUUAUCUCCACUGUGUACAAGGUCAAUCCUACAGAAAUCCUCAGACUGUUGUCAUCUUUGAUACAACCCCAAAAUAUUCACUGGAACCAGGUGGUGACAAAGAAGGAGAAAUUGGGCUUGAGAACAGAGCUGCUACACUGGCUGCAUAAAUGGAGAAUAUUUCUAACAGGUAGGUGAUACACACUGCAUGAAGUUUUUGUCCAUGCUAAAUAAUUAU
This 366-nucleotide long non-coding RNA is filed under the name Ictidomys tridecemlineatus (thirteen-lined ground squirrel). Its description in RNAcentral is "lncRNA (ENSSTOG00000032394.1)". The record is from RNAcentral. Lineage: Eukaryota; Metazoa; Chordata; Mammalia; Rodentia; Sciuridae.